This 94-nucleotide small RNA is filed under the name Salmonella enterica subsp. enterica serovar Muenchen. Its description in RNAcentral is "partial RtT sRNA". It matches the Rfam family "RtT RNA", at positions 1 to 93 of the family's 130-position model. From Rfam's summary of the family: This family represents a bacterial cis-regulatory element known as RtT RNA. The record is from RNAcentral. Lineage: Bacteria; Pseudomonadati; Pseudomonadota; Gammaproteobacteria; Enterobacterales; Enterobacteriaceae. RNAcentral also lists the same sequence under 5 other names.
AUAUCUCUCUGUACGGGAAGGAUGAGAAGCUUCGACUAAGGUUCGAUUCGAGCGCAGCGAGAAAGCGUUGCCGCAGGCAACGACCCGAAGGGCG